AGCUCCAAUAGCGUAUAUUAAAGUUGUUGCAGUUAAAAAGCUCGUAGUUGGAUUUGUGGCGUGUGCCUUGGCGUUGGGAUUGAUUUCCUUUUCUGCCUCGGCCGUGCCAUCCUUGGGUGGAAUCUGUGUGGCAUUAGGUUGUCGUGCAGGGGAUGCCCAUCGUUUACUGUGAAAAAAUUAGAGUGUUCAAAGCAGGCUUAUGCCGUUGAAUAUAUUAGCAUGGAAUAAUAAGAUAGGUCUUUGGUCCUAUUUUGUUGGUUUGCGGGCCGGAGAAAUGAUUAACAGGGACAGUUGGGGGUAUUCGUAUUCCAUUGUCAGAGGUGAAAUUCUUGGAUUUCUGGAAGACGAACUACUGCGAAAGCAUUUACCAAGGAUGUUUUCA
Molecule: ribosomal RNA, 382 nt
Filed under: uncultured eukaryote
Lineage: Eukaryota
Description: SSU rRNA
Rfam family: Eukaryotic small subunit ribosomal RNA
Source: RNAcentral